CCUACGGCGGCUGCAGUGGGGAAUAUUGGACAAUGGGGGCAACCCUGAUCCAGCCAUGCCGCGUGUGUGAAGAAGGCCCUCGGGUUGUAAAGCACUUUCAGUGAGGAAGAACGCCUGGUGGUUAAUACCCAUCAGGAAAGACAUCACUCACAGAAGAAGCACCGGCUAACUCCGUGCCAGCAGCCGCGGUAAUACGGAGGGUGCGAGCGUUAAUCGGAAUUACUGGGCGUAAAGCGCGCGUAGGUGGCUUGAUAAGCCGGUUGUGAAAGCCCCGGGCUCAACCUGGGAACGGCAUCCGGAACUGUCAAGCUAGAGUGCAGGAGAGGAAGGUAGAAUUCCCGGUGUAGCGGUGAAAUGCGUAGAGAUCGGGAGGAAUACCAGUGGCGAAGGCGGCCUUCUGGACUGACACUGACACUGAGGUGCGAAAGCGUGGGUAGCAAACAGGAUUAGAUACCCCUGUAGUC
This 464-nucleotide ribosomal RNA is filed under the name Vreelandella stevensii. Its description in RNAcentral is "partial 16S ribosomal RNA". It matches the Rfam family "Bacterial small subunit ribosomal RNA", at positions 338 to 795 of the family's 1533-position model. The record is from RNAcentral. Lineage: Bacteria; Pseudomonadati; Pseudomonadota; Gammaproteobacteria; Oceanospirillales; Halomonadaceae.